AGGAUGAACGCUGGCGGCGUGCUUAACACAUGCAAGUCGAACGGUGAAAGAGGAGCUUGCUCCUCUGGAUCAGUGGCGAACGGGUGAGUAACACGUGAGUAACCUGCCCUUGACUCUGGGAUAAGCACUGGAAACGGUGUCUAAUACCGGAUACGACCUCCGAAGGCAUCUUCUGGAGGUGGAAAGAAUUUCGGUCAAGGAUGGACUCGCGGCCUAUCAGCUAGUUGGUGAGGUAAUGGCCCACCAAGGCGACGACGGGUAGCCGGCCUGAGAGGGUGACCGGCCACACUGGGACUGAGACACGGCCCAGACUCCUACGGGAGGCAGCAGUGGGGAAUAUUGCACAAUGGGCGCAAGCCUGAUGCAGCAACGCCGCGUGAGGGACGACGGCCUUCGGGUUGUAACCUCUUUAGUAGGAAGAAGCGAAAGUGACGGUACCUGCAGAAAAGCACCGGCUAACUACGUGCCAGCAGCCGCGGU
RNAcentral lists this ribosomal RNA (480 nucleotides) under uncultured bacterium. RNAcentral's name for it is "SSU rRNA". It matches the Rfam family "Bacterial small subunit ribosomal RNA", at positions 26 to 521 of the family's 1533-position model. The record is from RNAcentral.